Molecule: ribosomal RNA, 502 nt
Filed under: uncultured bacterium
Lineage: Bacteria
Description: partial 16S ribosomal RNA
Rfam family: Bacterial small subunit ribosomal RNA
Source: RNAcentral
GAUGAACGCUAGCGGCAGGCUUAACACAUGCAAGUCGAGGGGCAGCACGGAAGUGGUAACACUUUUGGUGGCGACCGGCGGACGGGUGCGUAACGCGUAUGCAACCUACCGACAGCUUGGGGAUAACGGAUGGAAACGUCCACUAAUACCUGAUAAUAUCAUUGGAGGCAUCUUCGGUGGUUGAAAGAAUUUUGGUUGUUGAUGGGCAUGCGUAACAUUAGUUAGUUGGUGGGGUAACGGCUCACCAAGGCUACGAUGUUUAGGGGGACUGAGAGGUUAACCCCCCACACUGGAACUGGGACACGGUCCAGACUCCUACGGGAGGCAGCAGUGAGGAAUAUUGGUCAAUGGGCGAAAGCCUGAACCAGCCUUGCCGCGUGCAGGAAGACGGCUCUAUGAGUUGUAAACUGCUUUUAUACGAGGGUAAUUGCGCGCACGUGUGCGUGUUUGAAAGUAUCGUAUGAAUAAGGAUCGGCUAACUCCGUGCCAGCAGCCGCCGUAA